RNAcentral lists this ribosomal RNA (2145 nucleotides) under Triticum aestivum (bread wheat). RNAcentral describes it as "partial small subunit ribosomal RNA". The record is from RNAcentral. Lineage: Eukaryota; Viridiplantae; Streptophyta; Magnoliopsida; Poales; Poaceae.
AUGGCGCAGCCGAACCACCGGUACGGCGGCCACCGGGACCUGGAAGCCGUGAUAGACAUGGACCAGCCGGAGAAGCCGACCGCGAAAGGCGGCAGCCGAUUCAGCUUCACCGGCGGGCUGGAGUUCACCAGCCUUACGUACACUGUGGUCAAGAAGCAGCGGGGUGUCGGCGGGGAGUGGGAGAAGAAGGACGUGGACCUUCUGCACGAGAUCACGGGGUACGCGCCCAAAGGCUGCGUCACCGCCGUGAUGGGCCCCAGCGGCGCCGGCAAGUCGACAUUCCUGGACGCGCUCGCCGGGCGCAUCUCCAGCCUCGACGGCCGCGUGGCGCUCGACGGCGUCGAGAUGAGCCCCAGCGUCAUCAAGCGUUCGUCUGCCUACGUCAUGCAGGACGACCGCCUCUUCCCCAUGCUCACCGUCUACGAGACGCUCUUGUUCGCCGCCGACUUCCGCCUCGGCUCCGCCGUUUCCCCCUCCGACAAGAAGCUCCGCGUCGACAACCUCAUCGAGCAGCUCGGUCUCACGACAUCAAGGAACACGUACAUCGGGGACGAGGGCACGAGGGGAGUGUCCGGCGGAGAGCGCCGGCGCGUCUCCAUCGGCGUGGACAUCAUCCACGGGCCGGCGCUGCUGUUCCUCGACGAGCCGACGUCGGGGCUCGACUCGACGAGCGCGCACAGCGUGAUCGAGAAGGUGCACGACAUCGCGUGCGCAGGGAGCACCGUGGUGUUGACCAUCCACCAGCCGUCGUCGCGGAUCCUGCAACUCCUCGACCACCUCAUCAUCCUGGCACGCGGCCAGCUCAUGUACAGCGGCGGGCCCAAGGAGGUCACCGCGCACCUCGGCCGCAUGGGCCGCAAGGUGCCCAAAGGGGAGAACUCCAUCGAGCACCUCCUCGACGUCAUCCAGGAGUACGACCAGUCCGAGUUCGGCGUCAACGCCCUCGCCGAGUUUUGCCUCACCGGUCUGAAGCCGCGCAAGCUCGCCGCCGAGGGGAUCUCCACCGUGUCUAGCAUCCCUCCGACACCGGUUGGGCCCGGGGGCGAGGACUUCGAUCACAGCCUCAGGAGCCAGCACUCCAAGUCUCCAUGGAGCGGCGCGCAGUUCACGCCGUCCCGGCGCCCCAAGAAAGAUCAAAGCGGCAAGUCACAGAACCCUCCAAGGUACGGGCCGGAGAUCGUGAUGGGGACGCCGACGCCGCUGAGCAGCAUCUCGGGGUACACGGUGAACGAGGCGGACUACCUGUCGCCGGCGCAGCGCGCGUCCACCACGGGGGCGGCCGGCGUGGGCAUCAACGCGCUGGGGCACCGCGGCAAGUUCGCCAACUCGUACGCGGCGGAGGUGUGGGUGCUGAUGCGGCGCAACUUCACCAACAUCUGGCGCACGCCGGAGCUGUUCCUGUCGCGGCUGAUGGUGCUGACAGUGAUGGGAUUCCUGAUGGCCACCAUGUUCACCAAGCCCAAGGACAACACGCAGGGCAUCACCAACCGGCUGAGCUUCUUCAUCUUCACCGUGUGCGUCUUCUUCUUCUCCUCCAACGACGCCGUCCCGGCCUUCAUCCAGGAGCGCUUCAUCUUCAUCAGGGAGACCUCGCACAACGCGUACCGUGCGUCCGCGUACGUGGUCGCCGGGGUGAUCACGUACCUGCCGUUCCUCCUGCUCCAGUCCGCCGCGUACGCCCUCAUCACCUGGUGGGCCAUCGGGCUCCACGGCCAGUUCGUGUACUUCCUCGUCAUGCUCUACGCCUCGCUCCUCUCCACCAACUCCUUCGUCGUCUUCAUCAGCUCCAUCGUGCCAAACUUCAUCCUUGGGUACGCUGCGGUGAUCGCGUUCACGGCGCUCUUCUUCCUCUUCUGCGGCUACUUCGUGAACAGCCACAGCAUCCCGCAGGGGUGGAAGUGGAUGAACACCGUGUCCACGAUGAAGUACCCAUACGAGGGUCUCCUGAUGAACGAGUUCGGCGGAGAGCGGGACUUCUCCUCGAACCCGCCGCUCACCGGCAACGCCAUCCUCGAGAGCCUCACCAUCAGCGUGGCCAAGGACCGCAAGUGGAGGAUGGUGCUCUACCUGCUCGGCUGGGCCGUCUUCUACCGCGUGCUCUUCUACCUCGUCCUCCGCUUCGCCUCCAAGAACAAGAGGAAGUAG